UCAAUGCAUUGAUUAGCACAAAAUUGGAACGAUACAUAAAAGAUUAGCAUCCACUGUGCGAGGAUGACACGCCCAAAUCAAGAAACUCAAUGCAUCGAU
RNAcentral lists this small nuclear RNA (99 nucleotides) under Amborella trichopoda. The record is from RNAcentral. Lineage: Eukaryota; Viridiplantae; Streptophyta; Magnoliopsida; Amborellales; Amborellaceae.